CCAAGCGAAGAAGGGCACAAGGUGGAUGCCUUGGUACUGGGAGCCGAAGAAAGACGUGACAAGCUGCGAAAAGCUGCGUGGAGGAGCACAUAUCCUGUGAUACGCAGAUAUCUGAAUGGGGGAACCCGGUGCGAGUAAUAUCGCAUCAUCCAUAUAUGAGUAAAGUAGUAUAUGGAAGGUAACGCGGGGAACUGAAACAUCUAAGUACCCGUAGGAAGAGAAAGAAAAAUCGAUUUUCCAAGUAGCGGCGAGCGAACGGGAAAGAGGCCAAACCGUGCGUUUACGUACGGGGUUUAGGACCUGCAUAGAGUGGAAGCAUGGAUAGUCGAAGACGACUGGAACGUCGCAUCAGAGAGGGUAAAGAUCCCGUAGACGAAAUCCAAGCCAAGCGAGCAGGGAUCCGGAGUAGGGCCGGGCACGUGGAAUCCGGUCUGAAGACGGGGGGACCGCCCCCCAAGCCUAAAUACUACCCAGUGACCGAUAGCGAAUAGUACCGUGAGGGAAAGGUGAAAAGAACCCCGGGAGGGGAGUGAAAUAGAACCUGAAACCUUGUGCCUACAAUCGGAGGGAGCGAAAGUGACCUCGUACUUUUUGUAGAACGGGCCAACGAGUUAUGGUGUGCGGCGAGGUUAAGUUCCUGGAGGAACGAAGCCGAAGCGAAAGCGAGUCUGAACAGGGCGAAGAGUCGUAUGCUGUAGACCCGAAACCGGGUGACCUAUCCAUGCGCAGGCUGAAGUGACCGUAACAGGUCAUGGAGGGCCGAACUCAUAUCUGUUGAAAAAGGUUGGGAUGACGUGUGGAUAGCGGUGAAAUUCCAAUCGAACCCGGAGAUAGCUGGUUCUCCCCGAAAUAGCUUUAGGGCUAGCCUCGUGCUAAGAUACCCGGAGGUAGAGCACUGAAUAUUCUAGGGGCCUUCACCGGUUACCGAAAAUUAUCAAACUCCGAAUGCCGGAAUAUCAUGCACGGGAGUCAGACUAUGAGAGAUAAGUUCCAUGGUCGAGAGGGAAACAGCCCAGACCGACAGCUAAGGUCCCCAAAUUCAGAUUAAGUGGAAAAGGAUGUGGAGUUGCACAGACAGCUAGGACGUUGGCUCAGAAGCAGCCAUUCAUUCAAAGAGUGCGUAAUAGCUCACUAGUCGAGUGGCUCUGCGCCGAAGAUGAACGGGGCUGAAAUCUGAUACCGAAGCUACGGAUAGAAAUAUGGUAGGGGAGCAUCGUAUAGAGGAGGAAGGUGAGCCGGAAGGCGAGCUGGACGAUAUACGAGAGAGAAUGUUGGCAUGAGUAGCGUAAGGCAGGUGAGAAUCCUGCCCGCCGAAAAUCUAAGGUUUCCUGAGGAAGGUUCGUCCACUCAGGGUUAGUCGGGGCCUAAGCCGAGGGCGAAAGCCGUAGGCGAUGGACAACAGGCAGAGAUUCCUGUACCACCGGAGGUCGUUUGAGUGAAGCGGGGACACGGAAGGAUGAGUUGAGCACACCGUUGGUAGAGUGUGUCCAAGCAGUGAGGGAGUAUGUAUUUAGUCAUACAUAUGGAACUGAGCUGUGAUGGGGAGGCGAAUGAGCCGGAAGCAACGUAAUUCACGCCGUCGAGAAAAGCCGCUAACGAGACCCGAGGUGCCCGUACCGCAAACCGACACAGGUAGAUGAGGAGAGGAUCCUAAGGUGAGCGAGAGAACCAUUGUCAAGGAACUCGGCAAAUUGACCCCGUAACUUAGGGAGAAGGGGUGCUCGAGAGAUCGAGCCGCAGUGAAAAGGCCCAGGCAACUGUUUACCAAAAACACAGGUCUCUGCGAAAGCGAAAGCUGAAGUAUAGGGGCUGACGCCUGCCCGGUGCUGGAAGGUUAAGGGGAAGUGUUAUCUACGGAGAAGCACGGAACUGAAGCCCCAGUAAACGGCGGCCGUAACUAUAACGGUCCUAAGGUAGCGAAAUUCCUUGUCGGGUAAGUUCCGACCCG
This 1948-nucleotide ribosomal RNA is filed under the name gut metagenome. Its description in RNAcentral is "bacterial LSU rRNA". It matches the Rfam family "Bacterial large subunit ribosomal RNA", at positions 1 to 1990 of the family's 2925-position model. The record is from RNAcentral.